RNAcentral lists this ribosomal RNA (468 nucleotides) under uncultured bacterium. Its description in RNAcentral is "partial 16S ribosomal RNA". It matches the Rfam family "Bacterial small subunit ribosomal RNA", at positions 28 to 507 of the family's 1533-position model. The record is from RNAcentral.
GACGAACGCUGGCGGCGUGCUUAACACAUGCAAGUCGAACGGAAAGGCCCUGGUUUUGUGGGGUGCUCGAGUGGCGAACGGGUGAGUAACACGUGAGUAACCUGCCCUUGACUUUGGGAUAACUUCAGGAAACUGGGGCUAAUACCGGAUAGGAGCUCCUGCUGCAUGGUGGGGGUUGGAAAGUUUCGGCGGUUGGGGAUGGACUCGCGGCUUAUCAGCUUGUUGGUGGGGUAGUGGCUUACCAAGGCUUUGACGGGUAGACGGCCUGAGAGGGUGACCGGCCACAUUCUAACUGAGAUACGCCCCAGACUCCUACCGGACACAGCAGUGUGGAAUAUUGCACAAUGGUCGGAAGCCUGAUGCAGCAACUCCACGUGCGGGAUGACGGCCUUCGGGUUGUAAACCGCUUUCGCCUGUGACGAAGCGUAAGUAACGGUAAUAGGUAAAGAAGCACCGGCUAACUACGUG